GUUCGCGCUGAAGGCCUGUUUCCUAGGCUACAGACGGAGGACGUGUUCCUUACCUUUCCGCCUAGGGGAAAGUCCCCGGACCACGGGCAGAGAGUGCCGCGUGCGUACGCACGUAGACCUACCCCACCUCUCACUGGUUAGCCCGCCAAGAAGCGACCCCACCGGCGGUGGGGGAGCCGAGCGGCGUGUGGCGGGGCGUCAUCCGUCAGUCACUCUAGUUACGCAGGCAGUGCCUCUCCGAGCGCACCAACCACACGGGGCUCAUUCUCAGCGCGGC
Molecule: RNase MRP RNA, 277 nt
Filed under: Castor canadensis (American beaver)
Lineage: Eukaryota; Metazoa; Chordata; Mammalia; Rodentia; Castoridae
Description: RNase MRP (ENSCCNG00000005260.1)
Rfam family: RNase MRP
About the family: RNase MRP is an enzymatically active ribonucleoprotein with two distinct roles in eukaryotes. In mitochondria it plays a direct role in the initiation of mitochondrial DNA replication. In the nucleus it is involved in precursor rRNA processing, where it cleaves the internal transcribed spacer 1 between 18S and 5.8S rRNAs.
Source: Rfam by way of RNAcentral